This 1245-nucleotide long non-coding RNA is filed under the name Gouania willdenowi (blunt-snouted clingfish). RNAcentral describes it as "lncRNA (ENSGWIG00000009324.1)". Lineage: Eukaryota; Metazoa; Chordata; Actinopteri; Blenniiformes; Gobiesocidae. The record is from RNAcentral.
UAUUUUUAAUAAAAUAUAAAACGUGACUCAGUCAUUUUAAUGUGAUUACUGGUUUAGCAACAGAACCAUGUGACAGAUUAGUGGUUCCUGGAAUUAAAAGGUCAUAUUACAGGAAUAUGUUACUAAGUAACUUAGUUACAGUAAUCAAUGGCUGUCAUUGAUUUAUCAGUAAAAAGCCACAGGAAAUCCCCAACGUUCAAUAACAGGAAGUAGAAAAUGUUUAUAAAGCAUCACCGACAACAGUCGAGAGCUCAUAACCUACUGACUGGUUCUACCUACAGACAGGUUCUACAGACUGGUUCUACCUACAGACUGGUUCUACAGACUGGUUCUACCUACAGACAGGUUCUACAGACUGGUUCUACUGACUGGUUCUACUGACUGGUUCUACCUACAGACUGGUUCUACCUACAGACAGGUUCUACAGACAGAUGCAGCUCACAAAUGUGGUCAAAGCGUUGGGGACAAUGUGUCUGAUGCUAACAGAUGGAUUUCCAGUUCUACAGGACAAACCUCCAGAGAUCAUCGGACCACAGCGAGUCCAAGUCCACGUUCGUCUGGGUGAAACGACGCUCCUUCAUUGUGAUGCGUUCGCUAACUGUGACAGUGACGAGACUCUGAUUUACUGGAUCACCAAUAAGUCGUUUCCUGAAGAUACGUUGAACAGUGACAGGAUAGUGGAGUCAGACGAGUCGACCAUGGUGGGCGGGGCCAUCGUACACAGGAGUCUGCUGUUGAGAAGCAUCACAUCAGAGGAUCUAAACUCCACCUUCACAUGUGUCGUAUCCAAUCCUCUGGGAAUCGUAAAGAAAUGUUUUCAACUAACGUCACAUGACUCAACCUAAUAAACAACUACAGAUGGACAACCUUAUCACAGGGGGCGGGGCCACAAAACUGUGAUUGUGUCUGAUCUCAGGGUCACGUGAUCAACAUUGAUGUCAGCAUUAGAAUACCGACCAAUGUGUGUUUUUGUGUAGCUUUGGAAGUCAUUUCUGUGUGUUUGAGUUGCAAUUUUACUCUAAGUCUGUUAUUUUUAUAGUCGUCGUUUGUAUUUUGGUUUUCUAUUUGUGUAACUUUUGGUUGAAUUGGUGUUUUUCUGUUGUUUGUGCAACUAUUGGUUAAUUUUGUGUAUUUUUGUUGUCAUAUAUAUAUAUAUAUACACACACACAUUUUGUGUUUUUUUUUUAAUUUUUUUUUUUUUACCUUUUUAAUAUUUUUCAGUAAAUGUAUUUUUUUGAGCCAAUC